Molecule: ribosomal RNA, 404 nt
Filed under: uncultured bacterium
Lineage: Bacteria
Description: bacterial SSU rRNA
Rfam family: Bacterial small subunit ribosomal RNA
Source: RNAcentral
UAGGGGAUCUUGCUUAAUGGGCGCAAGCCUGAAGCAGCAACGCCGCGUGUGCGAUGACGGCCUUCGGGUUGUAAAGCACUUUUGGUCGGGAAGAGGAAGGACGGUGCCGGCCGAAUAAGCCUCGGCUAACUACGUGCCAGCAGCCGCGGUAAAACGUAGGAGGCGAGCGUUAUCCGGAUUUACUGGGUGUAAAGCGCGUGUAGGCGGCCGGUCAAGUUGGAUGUGAAAGCUCCUGGCUCAACCGGGAGAGGACGUUCAAAACUGACCGGCUGGAGCAUGGUAGGGGAAGGUGGAAUUCCGGGUGGAGUGGUGAAAUGCGUAGAGAUCCGGAGGAACACCAGUGGCGAAGGCGGCCUUUUAGACCAUGUCUGACGCUCAGACGCGAAAGCUAGGGUAGCAAACGG